Long non-coding RNA from Acanthopagrus latus (yellowfin seabream), 4576 nucleotides. RefSeq lists it as uncharacterized. The record is from RefSeq and is a predicted model, not a curated record. The transcript is spliced from 5 exons. NCBI's taxonomy places the organism in Eukaryota, Metazoa, Chordata, Actinopteri, Spariformes, Sparidae.
CCCACGGCCCACCUCCCGAGUCGAUGGACCGGACGCACCGGCAGGUCUAAGACUCUCUUUGAGGGAAAAUUCCCCCUUUUCUCCAUUUCCUAACGGCUGGCUUGCGACUCAGAAAAAAAAGGCCCACUUUAUUACACUUUGGCGGUUCCAAGCGACAACUGGAGAUUUACCCAAAAGGCAUAGAGGACAAAGCUGUAAUUGAAGAGCGGCUCUGACACCACACCCGGUUCUGCUCAGCUCUCCUGGAUCAAGUGGAAUGGCGAGAUUCAGAGCGAGUAACAAGAAAAGACAAUCAUCAUUCAUCCCCCUGUCGAGAGCAGAGGCCUUGAUCAGCAGAGCCUCCGUUGGCCCUCAGAUGACCCGCAGCCUAUCUGACCAGCUGUGGUUCAGAUGCCUCAGUCUGAGACGUUCACAUUACUGUAAUAACUGAGACUGUUAACUCUUUCUGCGCUGCAGCAGCUCUUUGUCACCGUCUUAUUACACUGCCGGAAGGAAAUGCAUAUAGAUUUGUGAGGUAACUUUAAUGUUUUAUAUUGAGGCCCUUGUGAUAAGGAAUACAAUGGUUAGCUGCACAAUGAUCAAUAUAAAUAUAUAUAUAUAUCUUAAUAAAGCACCAAAGAUAGCUUUGUAAAGGCUAAACAAAACAAAAACUGAUGAAGAUAUUAGUAACAUUCUUAAGCAUCUAUCAACGAGUUCUUUUAGUGCUAGUGUUUUGAUAAUCUUGCAAUAAAGGUGUUUAUUAUGGUAUUUAUUAACUCUUGAAUAGGCUUUAUUAAUGUUAAUAACAUCUUAUGAAGGAUUAUCCUGUUGACAAACACUUACAUUACAAGGAUCUAAUUAGAAAACCCUUAAAUGUCUUGUCUUCCUUGUCAAAUGUUGCUUUAUAAAAUGUUAACAAUGGCUGAUAUUUUGACGACUGAUUAUAAUUUUUUACUGUAUUUGUUUUGUGAUUGCCUAACCAGAUGAAAUGCUGCUGAGCUGCUGUAAUAAUCAUGCACAUUUCCAAUUUGUUACUUUGAAUAUUGCUUUCAAUUAAAGUUAUUCGCUCACUCUCAUUUAGUGGGAUGUUAUCAUGUUUUGUAUAGGGUUACGUGCAAUGUUUAGGCAGGGUUAAGCAUUUAAAUUAUGAUAUGGAUGUAGAAGUAUUUGAUUAAUGGAUUCAAAUGGCCCUUAUAAUAUAGGCAAUAUUUUCCUCUGACAAUAUUUAACCUUAUUGAUCUUUCUUUGAAAGUUGUAGACUAGUUUAACUUUAAAUGUCCGUUUAAACGUCACGGAAAUGAAUUGUAAGAAAAGCCUAGUUUUGAGAUAUCUGCACUGAACACUCCCACUACAGUGGAGGUGAAUGGAAAACAAUGUUCUUGACUUUGGACGAUCAUGAGAUCUCACUGUGAUAGUUUUCAUAGGGACUAAGGCCAAUUUUUUCAUUACAAAGUAGUUCCAAGUUAAAGUAUAAUUGGUGGCAUCUUUGGAGUAUCCACGGUAACUUGUGCAUUGAUGUUGACUGAUCUUGACGAUCACUAACAAUUUAAUUUCCCUUGAAUUGUAUUGCUGUAGUGGCAGAAACCUCAGUGGUUGAUAUCUCACAACCUUGUCACAUAAAAACUGAACUAUCUACUUGGCCACCGGAUCUAAGUGACAAAAUAUCUCUUUAUGAUUUGGGUAAACCGACUCACUUCAGCCUCGAUUAUAAUGGCUUUGGAAGCUGCUCCAAACUCAACAGGGUGUGUGCACUAUGUAGCAGAAUGUACAACGCUGUAAAAGCCAAAUCAGAGUCUAAUAAUGGGAAGGUGGCCUUCAAGCAAAGUGCCAAUUAUUUUAAAUUGCUCCAUUAAAGGCGGCAAUCACAACUGUCACGUUAGCAUUUGGACAUAAGGGCUCACUUCUGCUGGUUUCGAGUUCACGUGGGUGCAACUGCAGCGUAAUAAACACAUGUGGAUUUACAUAACCUCCAGAAACAAAUGAUUUUGUUUGCUGACUGCUUGCCAUAACACAUAACUGACUGACGGGGGAAAAGCUAGACAUUUUCUCACUUGGACCGAGAGAACAAAGCCCCUCGCUGUUUUUCCGCCUUUUAACAGGUGAGUGCUCCAGCUAUUAAUUUGUGUAGGGCCACCUACUUUAAUUGGUCUUAAUCUGGAGUGAGUGGCUUUGAUCUCUCUGACAGUUUGACUGCAUUAGCACGAGUGUGCAGGCUAAUCCUUGGCGUAGCUUGUUCUUUUGGCGCAGUCAGAGGCCUGUCCAGCGAUAAUAUGUCAGCUGAGGGAUAAGCCCUCAUCAAACAACCAGGUCUAAGCUUCUGGAAAAUGGGGGUUGAAGGGCCACCAUCAUGCUGUGCUUCAAACAAAGAUGGAGACGUAAACCAGCUCCGGCUUGCAGUUUUAAACCCCAAGAGGGACAUUUUUAAUGCUUCCAAGGUUCAUGUCCUUUAUGUAAACCUGUUGUUGUGUUCUGGUGUCUUAUGCUCUGUGACCACACACUUCUUGCUUUAUGAUAAACACUAUUACAUGAUCCUCUAACCCCGAGCCAGUCCCGGGUGCUACAAUGAACUCUUUAUAUCCAUCAUCCCACCACGUUUCUCACACACACACACACACACACUGCACGCAUGAUCCACAUGUCCAAACAGUGGCUUCAUCUGUGCCGUGUCAUCUUAUUAGGAAGUAACAAGCGUAUGAAGUGUUUGUCCUGAACUCGAGAUGAACUCUCAUGAAUUAUGAUAACCAUCUCACAGUCAACAAUAUCUGCUUUCAGGGAAGGAAUAGAGAGAUAGUGUUUGAAAUGAAGAAAACAGCAGUACUUGUGCUUCCCUAGUGAUUAUAUCACACAUCACAGUGAUUUACUUAUCAGGACAGGCAUAUCUCCACUUCAGUGGAUCUUUUGUUUUUGUGUUCCGUGACAGAGGAAUGUUAGCUGAGCUUUUAUUCACACUUGCAUGUGAAAGGGCCCAAACACAUCAGUUAAUGCUAAUUCAAAGAGGACAGAAAGCAAACGGGUUCACAAAAGAUAUUGUGUCACAAAUCAAAGUAAAAAUCAUUGUUUUCGUCACUUGUGCUGACUUCUUUUUAGCAUUUUGGUGAGCAUUAACAUUUCUUUGGAUGUGUUUCUUGUUGGCUGAGGAUGUGUUUCUUGAGCCUUUAGUGAAGUAAACACUUUGUGUGAAUUUUAAUUUAAUUUCUCUCAUACUGCAUUUCACUUUCUUACCAAACAGUGCUGGCUUGUAAUGUCUUGUUACAGAUAAGGCUCUCUCAUUUUCUUAGGCAAGAGAAAAUUAAUCUCAACACAACCAAUGCCAUUCAUUCAUUGUGGCUCCAUUGCCUCACUGACUAACAAGCUAAUGGAUGACUUCAGAUUUGCCGUUGUGGUAAUGAUACAGUAGGCAGCUGCUCUUUGAAAGGGCAGCAAACAGCCUCACCUUUAUCCAUGAUUGUGGUAUGGAAUUGACAAAUAGCUCCUUAGAUGGUUUUAGUUUCCUCUGUUUUGUGUCUUGGAAGGCUGAAUUUUCAAUCUACAGUGCAUAGCUUGACAUUUUGGGACACUUGGAUUGGAUAAAAUGAGGGUAGAACUUUAUUGUGAGUUUGCCAGUCAAGACUUCAGGAAGUCACAGCUCUCAGCCAAGAAAUUGUUCCCACACAUCACUUCCGCCACAAUAUUAGCAUGUUGGUUAACAUGUUGGUUUUGUGGACAUUAAACAAACAAGAUGUAACACUUGCCUCAAGUCUCAAUGCUAAGCUAAGUUAAUUGCCUGCUGAAGCAAGCUUUAUAUUUAAAAAGAUGGAUUAUAUAAGAAUUAACCACCUUGAUUUCAAACUCCAAACCAACAGGGAGCAGUAUAUCAACAGAGUAACUGCUAGCUUUGGCUAAGUGUAGCUUCCAUUAGUAUGUAAGCUUUGUUAACCAUGCAGGUAGUGGUUGUAUUCACUGACUCUGCCCACAUCCAGAGUUGGGAGUACCAUGGGAGUGUUGGUGGUGUUUACUAUUAGACCAAUCCCUCUUAAGGAACGAACUGGCUAGGGGCUAGCAGGUUAGCAUACUUACUUCAACAUAUAUCUCAGCAACACAGUACAAAAAAAACAUGAACAUAUAAAGUUUAAACAUAUUUCUUCUCAUUCUGUUGAUAGCUUUAGUUAACAUCAAAGUUCUUUAACAUACAGAUGUAAGAGUGGUAUCAGAGUUCUCAUGUAACUCUCACAAAGACAGCAAGUAUGUUCACCUCCCAAAAUGUUGAAUUAUGUUACAUUUUUUUUCCAACAUUUGAAAAGGUGGCUGAUGUCUCUGUGACUUGCCUUUUUACAAGUAAAAGGCAAAAAUUUACUUAAAAAAUCACAAAAUAUAAUUGUGUUCAUUAGUGACAUGUUGUUUUCUUUGUCUUUUCUAACUAAUUUGUCCUCUUGUGACCCCUCAGAUUGAGUUUGUGAUCCCUUAGAGGAUCAUGAACCUCAUUUUGGGAAUCGGAGGGCCUGAAAGGCUGAAGAGCUUUUGAUAGCCCCAAAUUCCUAACAGCUACAUUCAUUCUAAUUUCCUAUGUUAUUUCUAUGUAAAAAAAAAUGGAUCGUCAUAAUCUGUAUUAAAUGAUGUA